CUUCAAUUGAUUGUGCGAAGUGCCAAAGACAACUUGCCUAUGGGUUUUGACUUCCGCAUUUGCUUGUUUGUGUAGUAGCAUGUACACACAGGAACAUCCUUUAAAAAGCUUAACAUUUAAGUGUGGCUUGAGUAGAAGAAAGGCAAGGAACAAACGAAAUUGCAUGUCCUGCUCCUGCCCACAUGAAUUGAUAUUAUGAGUGAGAUUGGAAUAAUGAAGUUCCUUACUUUUCAUGACUUUGGUUGAAUUUUUUCUUUUAGGGUGAGAGAAGCUAGAGAUUUUGUCCUGCACAUUGGGGCAGCAAUGGACAUAUUUGCCAGCACAUUUUAAGACAUGAAAUGAAAGUGCCAAGAAUUACCCGCAAGACAUGUGGAACAUGAACUUGGUUUAGAGACUGAAAUAACAACUGGUGAAACUGAGAAUGUUGUGUACAAUAGCAUGUCCAUGUGAGACAAUUUAUUCAUACCCUGAAACGAGCCCAAGGUUGCCCUACCGCGCAUUUCACAACCCCAAUUUAGCGGCUUCCACCUCGCAAACGAGCAGUCGUCAGCUGAAAAUCCUUGCCCUGAAGCAACAACUCAGGUGACCCUUUUCGCAGGGUCAAACAUUUCAAAUUGUUUACUCAGCUAAGAAAGCUGAGUCUGAAAACAUCUUUGAACCAAGGGAAACGGAAAGAGCAGAAUAUAAUGGCAAAGGCAACGCUACAAACAACCAUUUUGCAUACAAACAGUGGAAAUCAAACAGCUUGGAACAACUCAAUCUGCUAGUAUUUGAAUUGUUCGGGCGUAUUUUUGUGUUAUUUUUUUUUUCUUCAAAAGCUCAAUUUGAUCUGAAUUUCUAGUUCAGACGCAAGAGUGAAGAAGAAACAUAAGAAAAGUAAAAUUCCGGAAGAAAGGCAUGGCCUUCCCUUUGCCUCUAUGACUUGCCGUUGGCCCCUUCGUAUCCUCUAGGAGGAAGAAGAGGGCAAUAUUAUCCAAGACAUGCAAUAGUGCUCAACAGUUGUCUUUUUCUUCUUCCUUCUUCUCCACAUUUUUGGGCUGAAAAGCUCAGAGCUCAGAUAGAAGAAAUAAGAACAGAUUGCAUUGUCUUUUUCUUGCAGCACCCCCUGCUUAUAAAGACCCUGGAGCCUGUUAGACAGGUGUCAAAAGCUCAGUCUUUGAGGUUUUGUUUCUUCUUUUUAAAGAAUAAGAGAUGGAAGAAAACAGA
RNAcentral lists this long non-coding RNA (1206 nucleotides) under Theobroma cacao (cacao). Its description in RNAcentral is "long non-coding RNA (TCAC_LNC002094)". Lineage: Eukaryota; Viridiplantae; Streptophyta; Magnoliopsida; Malvales; Malvaceae. The record is from RNAcentral.